This 200-nucleotide long non-coding RNA is filed under the name Gossypium barbadense (sea-island cotton). Its description in RNAcentral is "long non-coding RNA (GBAR_LNC004328)". The record is from RNAcentral. Lineage: Eukaryota; Viridiplantae; Streptophyta; Magnoliopsida; Malvales; Malvaceae.
GGCAAGACAUGUCAUAGACAUGUUGUGUUGGUGCAUCAUGGGAGGAAACAAUAAAAUAAAGUUAGUAAUAAAGAAAUGGAAAAAAAAAAAGAAAGAAGGUGUGAUUGUUUCUCCCCCUCCCCAUUGCCGUGAAUGUAAGAAAGAAAACAAAAAAAAAGUGUCCAUCUUUUUUCAUGUCUCUUGGCCGAAUGUUCUAAGGA